RNAcentral lists this non-coding RNA (198 nucleotides) under Terriglobia bacterium. Its description in RNAcentral is "6S RNA". It matches the Rfam family "6S / SsrS RNA". Rfam says of the family: E. coli 6S RNA was the first non coding RNA to be sequenced, but its function was unknown until recently. It consists of 184 nucleotides that fold into an extended hairpin structure with a large single-stranded internal bulge. The 6S RNA specifically associates with RNA polymerase holoenzyme containing the sigma70 specificity factor. The record is from RNAcentral. Lineage: Bacteria; Pseudomonadati; Acidobacteriota; Terriglobia.
GCGUUCCUGCUUGGUUUGUGUGCGGCUUCCAUAAAUUGAUCCAACAGUCAAUGUCAUGGGAUCUAGCUCGUUUUAAACGCCGGUGAGCAAGCUCCGGUGGCUUAACGGCCGCCAUGGAGAAGCCUGAAGGUGUGCGGAGGAUCCCCCCUGUUAAGUUCAGGGUCAAUGACGGGGGCUAGGACGGCUCGGUGGUGCGCU